Molecule: long non-coding RNA, 504 nt
Filed under: Canis lupus familiaris (dog)
Lineage: Eukaryota; Metazoa; Chordata; Mammalia; Carnivora; Canidae
Description: lncRNA (ENSCAFG00845022968.1)
Source: RNAcentral
CUUUAGUGAAGAAGGAAGAAAAGGAACAAAGUUCUCCUCCUCCACUUCCAAGAUAAUACAUCAAAGAAAGGUCAUCCGUUGAGUUGUUUCCCCUACUCCUCUCCUUUCAUCCAAGCUAAGGAAAAGAGACAUCCACCUAGCAAAGGUGCCUCUGAAAUGUUCUGCUGAAACUUCUCUUGUUCUCAACAUUCCUGUUAGCAGAUGCACAGCCUCCUGUCAUUCCUGGAAACAUGGAGUCAGAAGGAAGUUCAGAGAUUUCUACAACCCAGCUGUCUGGACUGGAGUAAGAUUAUAAACCAAAGUUCUAGCAGAACCCUCCUGGGCUUAACAUUCUCCAAAAAAUUAAGGAUUCCAUAGCCAACCAGAGAGACCUGAACUGAGAAAUAAGUUGCUGUGGUUGUGAUUCAAGGUUUGUCUUUCUUCUCUGGUAUGCAGACACUUUUGAAUGUUCCUCAAAUCAGUUUCUAUUCUGGCUUCUUCAGUGGCUGCCAGGUGGAAUUUAUC